AAUUAGAUGGCUGACGGCUCGUAUAAUAUUGAAACUUAUCUAAUGCUAAUAUAUAAAAUGGAACUAGAAACUAAGAAAGCAUAUAAAAGCAUGCUUCUGUGUUUUCGGUAAAAUUGUAGAAUAUUUAUCCCAAUUAACUUAACUUAUUGCGAUAUACACGGAACGCAAUAUAUUUACGAAAUAACGAUAUACGGAACGCAAUAUAUUUACGAAAUAAGCAUAAUAUUUUUUUAUCGUAUUUUGUUAUCAUAUGUAGUGCAAUCUCCUCGUAAUCCCAAACGAGUUCAGUUCAGAAUAUUUCGAAAUUGAAUGAGAGAGAGAGGGAGAGAGAGAGAGAGAGAGAGAGAGAGAGAGAGGGAACAAACCAGUAGUAUUGGG
RNAcentral lists this long non-coding RNA (378 nucleotides) under Ananas comosus (pineapple). RNAcentral describes it as "long non-coding RNA (ACOM_LNC030952)". The record is from RNAcentral. Lineage: Eukaryota; Viridiplantae; Streptophyta; Magnoliopsida; Poales; Bromeliaceae.